GGUUCUGUGGUGCAAUGGUUAGCACGCUCAACUUUGAAUCCAGUGAUCUGCGUUCAAGUCUCAGCAGAACCU
RNAcentral lists this transfer RNA (72 nucleotides) under Alligator mississippiensis (American alligator). RNAcentral describes it as "tRNA-Gln (TTG) (tRNA-Gln-TTG-16-1)". It matches the Rfam family "tRNA". From Rfam's summary of the family: Transfer RNA (tRNA) molecules are approximately 80 nucleotides in length. Their secondary structure includes four short double-helical elements and three loops (D, anti-codon, and T loops). The record is from Rfam by way of RNAcentral. Lineage: Eukaryota; Metazoa; Chordata; Crocodylia; Alligatoridae.